Molecule: long non-coding RNA, 466 nt
Filed under: Rosa chinensis
Lineage: Eukaryota; Viridiplantae; Streptophyta; Magnoliopsida; Rosales; Rosaceae
Description: sRNA RchiOBHm_Chr2g0087531
Source: RNAcentral
UUGUUAGACUCCUACAUCAGUACCACCAACAAAUCCAGAGUCGGAAGGGAAUGGCGCAGAUGGGAAAGAGCGAGCUAGCUUCAGCCAAAAAACCCAAGGGAGCUGCAGGAAAUACAGGUUUGGUUAGUGGCAAGGCUGGGGAGAGUGGAAAAGCAACUUCUGGUUCUGGAAUGAUGGAGUUUCACAAAGGCUCUCCACAUGGUUUUAGAUAGCCCGAUUAAUAAAGCUGGGAAGUUGCAAUGUGUGUAUAUGAAGACCGAGGAUGGUAAACUUAUUGAGAUUAAACCAUAUGUUCGUAUCCCAAGGACGUUUAAGCUAUUCUCUGGUGUCAUGUGACUCUCAUACAGUUCAGAGAAACUAGUUAGCAUUCAAAAAUAUGUUGUUGCUGCUGAAAACAAUAUGGACCUUGUUUUUGUGGAGUAUGGUGCAUACAAGAAGGGAAGCUUUGACAAGAUGCUUGCAGAUG